Molecule: small nuclear RNA, 110 nt
Organism: Candoia aspera
Lineage: Eukaryota; Metazoa; Chordata; Lepidosauria; Squamata; Candoiidae
Source: RefSeq, a predicted model, not a curated record
AUGCUCUCACUUUAGCAGCACAUAGAGUAAAAUUGGAACGAUAUAGGGAAGAUUAGCAUGGCCCCUGCACAAGGAUGACACAUUAACAAUAACAGAUAAAACAAACAGUG